AGUGAACGCUGGCGGUAGGCCUAACACAUGCAAGUCGAACGGCAGCACAGUAAGAGCUUGCUCUUACGGGUGGCGAGUGGCGGACGGGUGAGGAAUACAUCGGAAUCUACUUUUUCGUGGGGGAUAACGUAGGGAAACUUACGCUAAUACCGCAUACGACCUACGGGUGAAAGCAGUGGAUCUUCGGACCUUUCGCGAUUGAAUGAGCCGAUGUCGGAUUAGCUAGUUGGCGGGGUAAAGGCCCACCAAGGCGACGAUCCGUAGCUGGUCUGAGAGGAUGAUCGGCCACACUGGAACUGAGACACGGUCCAGACUCCUACGGGAGGCAGCAGUGGGGAAUAUUGGACAAUGGGCGCAAGCCUGAUCCAGCCAUACCGCGUGGGUGAAGAAGGCCUUCGGGUUGUAAAGCCCUUUUGUUGGGAAAGAAAAGCAGCAGGUUAAUACCCCGCUGUUCUGACGGUACCCAAAGAAUAAGCACCGGCUAACUUCGUG
RNAcentral lists this ribosomal RNA (492 nucleotides) under uncultured bacterium. Its description in RNAcentral is "partial 16S ribosomal RNA". It matches the Rfam family "Bacterial small subunit ribosomal RNA", at positions 29 to 507 of the family's 1533-position model. The record is from RNAcentral.